GAAAAAUUCAUCCUUUCUGGCUUUAACCCUGUAGCUCAGAAGCUUCUGGAUUUAAGAAAGGAAGACGUCCUGAAGUAUGUUUCUUCCCUGUAGAAACUAUGUUUAUGUGAUCACAGAUAUGAUUUAUACUGAUUGCUGCCUGUGAGAAGCCAAGCACGUCCAGCUUCCUUGAAUUAAGUUAUGUCCUGAGAAGAAUCAAAUACAGAAAUGGAAAAAGAAUCUGAUUGGUAAAGAAAGGUACAUCAUAGAUAGGUCAGGGAUAAAAUGAGAUUGGUAUUAUAAGUCAAGAUGAGUUUAACCUUACAAAGGAAACUAAAGCAAAUAGUAUUUUCUUUUCAUAUAUAUAUGAAAAGGCAACAAGAGAAGAGCAAGUGAAGGUAUUGAGGAGGACAACUGGGCCAAGGCUAAAGAUACUCAGGACAGAAAAAGGUCAAAGGGAUGUGAUGCAGUAUCAGUAGGUCUCUAGGAGAAAAGAAGAGGAAUUUUCCCGGAGAUGCUUGCACUGGUUGAAAAGAAAAUCCAGGAAAUGGAAUUGGCAGCACUGUAAUUUGAUGAGGGAAGAGCCUGGGUUUGUCAAUGACUAAUAGUGGCAUAACAGCUACUAAUUUGUUGAAGUUGAACCUGAAGUGACCUUAUUUAUAUUUGAAACAUGCUUUUUCAGAAAAAAAAUAUGAAAGGAAAACUGCAAAAUUAUAAAUGUGUAGUUAAAUAAUAGCUAGAACUCAGUAUAGCCAGGAUUUGAUUUGAGAGGUAGUAUGGUAUACUGGGGUCCUGUAAUGAAGUAUAAAAUGUACACAUAUAUGUAGACAUGAGCCAUCCAGAUUUCUGGAAGACACCAAAAUAAAUAAAUAAUUCACCACUACUUUCCUUUGAAA
RNAcentral lists this long non-coding RNA (875 nucleotides) under Anas platyrhynchos platyrhynchos (common mallard). Its description in RNAcentral is "lncRNA (ENSAPLG00000029238.1)". The record is from RNAcentral. Lineage: Eukaryota; Metazoa; Chordata; Aves; Anseriformes; Anatidae.